GGCGGGCGGAGGGGGGUGCUCCACACACUCAGAACACUUUCCUCUGCACUUACUUCAUUCUGGUUUUUCUUUUGGGUCCUUGGUGUUUUUAAAUAAACCCUUUCCUGUAGUUUGCUCCCCUUCCAUGGAGGGCUGUUUCGAGCACAGAUCUGCUGGGUGUCUGUAUUUACAAAGAGAAGGGGCCACUCGUGUGUGAGCAGCACCGAGGGACAGAGGCAUUUUUUACACCUGGAGCAGCCAGAGGACGCAUGCAUGGCUCUUCGGAAGCCUUCUCCUGCCACAGCAUGCACCCACACAUGCGAGCCUCCCGGGUACUGUCAUCCUGAAUUCUGAGACCAUCCAGCACUUCCUUUAGUUUUGCCCUAGUGCUGUUGACUUUUGUUUACUGAAGAGUGUGCUGGAGGCAGGACAAGGGACAUGGAAGGCUGCAAUUUAAGAGUC
This 441-nucleotide long non-coding RNA is filed under the name Pan troglodytes (chimpanzee). RNAcentral describes it as "long non-coding RNA NONPTRT007649". Lineage: Eukaryota; Metazoa; Chordata; Mammalia; Primates; Hominidae. The record is from RNAcentral.